GUCUUGGUAGCUCAGAGAGAAGACAGAAGAGCACCGGCCUAGCGAUCCGGUGGUCGUGGGUUCAAGUCCCACCCAAGACA
Molecule: non-coding RNA, 80 nt
Organism: Cydia strobilella
Lineage: Eukaryota; Metazoa; Arthropoda; Insecta; Lepidoptera; Tortricidae
Source: the annotation of a RefSeq genome assembly